RNAcentral lists this ribosomal RNA (256 nucleotides) under uncultured bacterium. RNAcentral's name for it is "partial 16S ribosomal RNA". It matches the Rfam family "Bacterial small subunit ribosomal RNA", at positions 524 to 776 of the family's 1533-position model. The record is from RNAcentral.
UACGGAGGAUCCAAGCGUUAUCCGGAAUCAUUGGGUUUAAAGGGUCCGUAGGCGGUUUGGUAAGUCAGUGGUGAAAGCCCAUCGCUCAACGGUGGAACGGCCAUUGAUACUGCCAGACUUGAAUUAUUAGGAAGUAACUAGAAUAUGUAGUGUAGCGGUGAAAUGCUUAGAGAUUACAAUGGGAAUACCAAUUGCGAAGGCAGGUUACUACUAAUGGAUUGACGCUGAUGGACGAAAGCGUGGGGUAGCGAACAGG